UACAGAGGGGGCAAGCGUUGUUCGGAAUUACUGGGCGUAAAGGGCUCGUAGGCGGCCAACUAAGUCGGACGUGAAAUCCCCAGGCUCAACCUGGGAACUGCGUCCGAUACUGGAUGGCUUGAAUCCGGGAGAGGGAUGCAGAAUUCCAGGUGUAGCGGUGAAAUGCGUAGAUAUCUGGAGGAAUACCGGUGGCGAAGGCGGCAUCCUGGACCGGCAUUGACGCUGAGGAGCGAAAGCCAGGGGAGCAAACGGG
This 253-nucleotide ribosomal RNA is filed under the name uncultured bacterium. RNAcentral describes it as "partial 16S ribosomal RNA". It matches the Rfam family "Bacterial small subunit ribosomal RNA", at positions 524 to 776 of the family's 1533-position model. The record is from RNAcentral.